UUACACCAAUUCCAAUUACCAAGUGGCUUUCCAAACAGGCCCUAAGUUUGACUGUUGAACUCCGAAAAGAUUCAAUUGAAUUGAAACGGAGGGAGUAAUAGGCUUGAUUGAGGCCGCUGUCUCUGCAGCAUAAGUUUUCUGUUGGUUGCCACUUUUAGUUUUACGCUUAGGUUAAAGUCUAGCAAGUUGCUAGACACGGCAAUCGCGGGCGGCAUUAAGAUCUGGAAAAGGUUUAAUAGCCGCAGCAAAAACGGAAAGAGUCUCGGAAACUGGAGGUUUUCCUUUUGUGUUACGGCUGGCAGAAAAUAAGAGUAUCUAUGAUGAAAAGAUGAAGAUGGAAAGGUGGGAGAGAUCAAAUCGCAUGUGUAUGAUGACAUGAAGAAGGUCAUUCCAGAAAGUGAUCACAUAGCCGCUAUUCCAAAGGACAAAAGGAAAGACAAGAAGAGAAAGAAUAAGGAAGUUACGGAUAUGACAACACAGAAGAAACAACAUAAGGAACCAUCUACAUAUGGUUGUUUCUUUUGCGAAGCUGUAGGCCAUAAGAAGAAGCAGUGCUCUAACUAUCAUGCCUGGCGUGAAAACAAAGGUACGCUUCUUAAUUUUGUUUGUUCUGAGGUUAAUUUGACUUCGGUACCAAGACACACAUGGUGGAUAGAUUUUGGUGCAACAACUCACGUCAGUGGGUCUAUGCAAGGUUGUCUGAAUUGUCGAAAGUUUAAUAAUUGUGAAAGAUACAUUAACGUUGGUGAUGGCAAGUCGGUGAAAGUGGAAGCAAUUGGAACCCUUUAGAUUAUUGUUAAGAAUUGGUUUUUAUUUGGAUUUGAAAGAGACAUUUAUUGUACCAUAUUUUAGACAGAAUUUGAUUUCCAUUUCGACUUUGGACAAAUUUAGUUAUUGUUGUUCAUUUGGAAAUAUAAAGUUUAUUCUUUCUCAUAAUUCAAAAUUAGUUGGACCA
Long non-coding RNA from Lycium barbarum (goji berry), 955 nucleotides. RefSeq lists it as uncharacterized. Lineage: Eukaryota; Viridiplantae; Streptophyta; Magnoliopsida; Solanales; Solanaceae. The record is from RefSeq and is a predicted model, not a curated record. The transcript has 3 exons.